CAGGCCAUGGGAAGACAUUACCUGUUGAUAACACAGACUAUUCUCAUGAUCAUGGGAGGUGUGAGAGAAUUGCUGCUCUUUGUGAUGACUGUGGGGGUUGUCAAAGUUUCUUGUUACCCUGUUGGAAAGUCCCAGAAGCAAGAUCAAGUCUCUCUGCAGAGGAGACUUGGAGAGCUGUCAUCAAAUGACGUCUCCAUUGAGCAUGCCCUGGCCUUGCUCCGAUCCAUAGGGUCUGACGCUAAACAAGACAGAGAAGAGUAUUUAGAGACUAACGAAGUAGAAUCCCAAGCUUCUCCAAACCAUGGUAGCUCUCAGGCAAAUGAUGCCCUGUCCUCUGAGGAGAAGCUGAGGCGCAUGUCCUCUGACGACGCUGCGACUGGCCCGUCUGACGACGCUACCUCUGAAGCUGCGACUGGCCCGUCUGACGACGCUACCUCUGAAGCUGCGACUGGCCCGUCUGACGACGCUACCUCUGAAGCUGCGACUGGCCCGUCUGACGCACGCUACCUCUGAAGCUGCGACUGGCCCGUCUGACGACGCUACCUCUGAAGCUGCGACUGGCCCGUCUGACGACGCUACCUCUGAAGCUGCGACUGGCCCGUCUGACGACGCUACCUCUGAAGCUGCGACUGGCCCGUCUGACGACGCUACCUCUGAAGCUGCGACUGGCCCGUCUGACGCACGCUACCUCUGAAGCUGCGACUGGCCCGUCUGACGACGCUACCUCUGAAGCUGCGACUGGCCCGUCUGACGCACGCUACCUCUGAAGCUGCGACUGGCCCGUCUGACGACGCUACCUCUGAAGCUGCGACUGGCCCGUCUGACGACGCUACCUCUGAAGCUGCGACUGGCCCGUCUGACGCACGCUACCUCUGAAGCUGCGACUGGCCCGUCUGACGCACGCUACCUCUGAAGCUGCGACUGGCCCGUCUGACGACGCUACCUCUGAAGCUGCGACUGGCCCGUCUGACGACGCUACCUCUGAAGCUGCGACUGGCCCGUCUGACGCACGCUACCUCUGAAGCUGCGACUGGCCCGUCUGACGACGCUACCUCUGAAGCUGCGACUGGCCCGUCUGACGACGCUACCUCUGAAGCUGCGACUGGCCCGUCUGACGACGCUACCUCUGAAGCUGCGACUGGCCCCGUCUGACGACGCUACCUCUGAAGCUGCGACUGGCCCGUCUGACGACGCUACCUCUGAAGCUGCGACUGGCCCGUCUGACGACGCUACCUCUGAAGCUGCGACUGGCCCGUCUGACGACGCUACCUCUGAAGCUGCGACUGGCCCCGUCUGACGACGCUACCUCUGAAGCUGCGACUGGCCCCGUCUGACGCACGCUACCUCUGAAGCUGCGACUGGCCCGUCUGACGACGCUACCUCUGAAGCUGCGACUGGCCCGUCUGACGACGCUACCUCUGAAGCUGCGACUGGCCCCGUCUGACGACGCUACCUCUGAAGCUGCGACUGGCCCCGUCUGACGCACGCUACCUCUGAAGCUGCGACUGGCCCCGUCUGACGACGCUACCUCUGAAGCUGCGACUGGCCCCGUCCUGACGACGCUACCUCUGAAGCUGCGACUGGCCCGUCUGACGACGCUACCUCUGAAGCUGCGACUGGCCCCGUCUGACGACGCUACCUCUGAAGCUGCGACUGGCCCGUCUGACGACGCUACCUCUGAAGCUGCGACUGGCCCUCGUCUGACGACGCUACCUCUAAGGAACUGUUCACCGCUUCAUCGGAGCCCCCGUUGACCACAAACAUGGAUAUCUGACGUGGGACAUGGUGCUCGGGGUCCAUGCAAGAGUUCAUGGGUACUCUAGUCCAGGUUGUCUGUGUGUGUAACUGCAUUUGCUUGUUUUGGCUCAAUUAAACAUUAACUGUAA
Molecule: non-coding RNA, 1886 nt
Organism: Salmo salar (Atlantic salmon)
Lineage: Eukaryota; Metazoa; Chordata; Actinopteri; Salmoniformes; Salmonidae
Source: RefSeq, a predicted model, not a curated record